RNAcentral lists this ribosomal RNA (388 nucleotides) under uncultured bacterium. Its description in RNAcentral is "bacterial SSU rRNA". It matches the Rfam family "Bacterial small subunit ribosomal RNA", at positions 509 to 895 of the family's 1533-position model. The record is from RNAcentral.
CAGCAGCCGCGGUAAUACGUAGGGGGCAAGCGUUGUCCGGAUUUAUUGGGCGUAAAGAGCGUGUAGGCGGCUAUACAGGUCCGCUGUGAAAACUCGAGGCUCAACCUCGAGACGUCGGUGGAAACCGUAUGGCUAGAGUCCGGAAGAGGAGAGUGGAGUUCCUGGUGUAGCGGUGAAAUGCGCAGAUAUCAGGAAGAACACCCGUGGCGAAGGCGGCUCUCUGGGACGGUACUGACGCUGAGACGCGAAAGCGUGGGGAGCGAACAGGAUUAGAUACCCUGGUAGUCCACGCCGUAAACGAUGAUUGCUUGGUGUAGCAGGUACCCAAUCCUGCUGUGCCGAAGCUAACGCGACAAGCAAUCCGCCUGGGGAGUACGGUCGCAAGGCU